Molecule: ribosomal RNA, 433 nt
Filed under: uncultured bacterium
Lineage: Bacteria
Description: partial 16S ribosomal RNA
Rfam family: Bacterial small subunit ribosomal RNA
Source: RNAcentral
AACGAACGCUGGCGGCAUGCCUAACACAUGCAAGUCGAACGAGACCUUCGGGUCUAGUGGCGCACGGGUGCGUAACGCGUGGGAACCUGCCCUUAGGUUCGGAAUAACUCCCCGAAAGGGGUGCUAAUACCGGAUAAUGUCUUCGGACCAAAGAUUUAUCGCCUUUGGAUGGGCCCGCGUUGGAUUAGCUAGUUGGUAGGGUAAUAGCCUACCAAGGCGACGAUGCAUAGCUGGUCUGAGAGGAUGAUCAGCCACACUGGGACUGAGACACGGCCCAGACUCCGACGGGAGGCAGCAGUGGGGAAUAUUGGACAAUGGGCGAAGGCCUGAUCCAGCAAUGCCGCGUGAGUGAUGAAGGCCUUAGGGUUGUAAAGCUCUUUUACCCGGGAUGAUAAUGACAGUACCGGGAGAAUAAGCUCCGGCUAACUCCGUG